Molecule: ribosomal RNA, 439 nt
Filed under: uncultured bacterium
Lineage: Bacteria
Description: bacterial SSU rRNA
Rfam family: Bacterial small subunit ribosomal RNA
Source: RNAcentral
UGCAGUCGACGGUGAACUCCGCUUGCGGGGGGAUCAGUGGCGAACGGGUGAGUAACACGUGGGCAACCUGCCCUCAGCUCUGGGAUAACUCCAAGAAAUUGGGGCUAAUACUGGAUAUGACCGCUGACCGCAUGGUCUGGUGGUGGAAAGAUUUAUCGGCUGGGGAUGGGCCCGCGGCCUAUCAGCUUGUUGGUGGGGUAGUGGCCUACCAAGGCGACCACGGGUAGCCGGCCUGAGAGGGUGACCGGCCACACUGGGACUGAGACACGGCCCACACUCCUACGGGAGGCAGCAGUGGGGAAUAUUGCGCAAUGGGCGAAAGCCUGACGCAGCGACCCCGCGUGGGGGAUGACGGCCUUCGGGUUGUAAACCUCUUUCAGCAGGGACGAAGCGAAAGUGACGGUACCUGCAAAAGAAGCACCGGCCAACUACGUGCCAG